GGUACUUGUAUGAUGGAUGGAAGACCUCUUCUUGCCCCGCUUGGAUGAAGACUUCUGCCGGUCUGGAUGUCCUCUUCUGCCCCAUCGGAUGAAGACUUCGGCCCGGCUGGGUGAACACGACUCAAGGCCGGUGCCAAAUUCAAGAUCAUAGAACAGAUACAGAUGGACAUCAGCUUAUAUUUUUGUUGUUCUGUCAACAUUAUUGUGCGUCUGCAUUAUACUUGUACCCUAGGCCUAUACUAUAAGUUAUUCUCUGGUUUAUUACAAUGUCUUAUUUAAAAUGUUUUAAUACCUGAAAAAUUUGAAGCCUAAUAAAAGUUUAAAUUACUUUUGUAAGAGUCAA
Molecule: long non-coding RNA, 343 nt
Organism: Bombina bombina (fire-bellied toad)
Lineage: Eukaryota; Metazoa; Chordata; Amphibia; Anura; Bombinatoridae
Exons: 2
Source: RefSeq, a predicted model, not a curated record